Molecule: long non-coding RNA, 3682 nt
Organism: Acinonyx jubatus (cheetah)
Lineage: Eukaryota; Metazoa; Chordata; Mammalia; Carnivora; Felidae
Exons: 4
Source: RefSeq, a predicted model, not a curated record
UUCUUGUAGGCUUCACAGCCAGUGUGGAGUUUGAACUCACAACCCUGAGAUCAAGACCUGAGCUGAGAUCAAAAGUCAGAUGUCUAACUGAUUGAGCCACCCAGAUGCCCCAACACUGACUCUUUGAAUAGACAAGGCCAGCUGUCUCGUAAAAUGACAAAUAUUCUGGGUUUGACUUGUUUCCCGUUGACUGUGGGAGUUAGGCUGAGAUUCGGUUAUAAACAUUUUUGACAGGAAUACGUUGUGACACAGGGUACUUCAUGAUUUAUCACUGGAUAUAUAUAUAUAUAUAUAUAUCACUCGAUAGAUUUUUAACACUGAUUUCAAGUAAUUUGUACCAAAAUCUUCUCAAAAAAUUCAGGGGACUAAAACAAUUCAUAUAUCCCAGUUUGGAUACAUACAGGCUUUUCGCCUGUUAUUCUCAGUUUUAGGGUCAGUGUCAAGGUAAAAUGAGACUAAAAGGUUUCAGAAAUAAUACUGUACUAUACAUAGGCUUUAUUCUACUUUCAUUUGUUUGGGCCUUUUUUGUUCCCUCUUGGGAUGUUACUUGGUCCCUUCUUGCUUUUCCCAGCCCAGGACAUACCUGUCUUAAUGUUAGGAUGGGAAGUGCCUUGGGGUCACCGACAAAAAGGUGUCCACUUUGUUGUGACUUUGGUCACUUGGCAUGGCUGAGUUUCCUACCCUGUAAAGUGAGUGUGGUGAUAUGAUACAGUGACCUAUGGAUCCAUUGAGAUCAUGUUGGUAAUGAGACAUUCCAUUCAUUCCACAUUUAUUUGAACACUGGCUGGGGCUCUGUACCAGGCUCACGAGAGGAUGCAGAAAACAAGGUCCAUUCUGUGCCCCAGCACUUGGUCUGACUGCCAACACCACGCCGUGUGUUCAAGCGAAGGAAUCACCGGGAACGUUGGGGUUUUCUCUGCCUCUUCGGCUCCACCCUUCCACCCCCUCCACUGUGGAGCGCCCGUGUCAUCUGGCAGUGACCCCAGUUUGGGAGUGGGGAGGGGUGGGGAUAGUUUGGGAGGCACUUGACACACCUGAGUCAAUCCUGCCAACCUCGCAAUCCCAGCCCCCCGGCUAACGUUUGGCUCAAGAGCCCAGGCCUAAGCCGGCCGGAGAUGUCAUUGCUCUGCUUGCUCACUUUGGUUAGUUCCCAGAGGGGAACACAACCCAUUCUGGGCCCCAGAGAUAGGAGGAAGUUUUCCAAAGGCUUCUGGGAAAAGAUGCCUUGGUCUUUGGGACACAAAACUGGAAUGUUUUCUUGUCAGGUGGAUAGAAGGCUCAAGUGUUAAACCUACAGACGGAGCUGUUAACGUGGAACUCAAUCACGUGAGCCAAUAAGACCCCUGUUUAAGCCCAUUUGAGUUUAAUCUUCUGUUACAGGCAGUCAAUAGCGUCCAGAUUUGGGGGUACACACAUUUGGCACCUGGGGGCCACUCUUCCAAAGCCGCAUUCGAGCAGAUUCUGGUGCUGGUGCCAGCUUUUGUCUCCUCCUAUGUGGCCUUGUCUUGCUGGGUCCUUGACUGCGAGCCCAGUUCUGUGAGGCUGAGGGCCUUGCUUUCAGCCUAAGCUGAAACUGGUCAUGAGUUUGGUCUGGUCUCCAUAAGUACUUGCACACCAAGAACAUCUGACUUCCUGGGUUUUGUGGGUGCCAGUACCCCCUGCCCCCAAGCCCUGCUGCACCACCCUACUGGUAGGCCCCGUCUGGUUGUUUCCCCCAGGGGGGCCUCUACUGUGAAAACCCUGUUCCCUUGGCUCUCUCCUGCCUUUCCUAACUCCCCUGAAGCUGGGAUUUUUUUAUUGAAAAAAAUUUUUUUUUCCAAAUUAGAAAAAGCAAUGGAGAAGAAAACAGGCCUUACUUAUACUCUGGGAAAAUUUAAAUCUCCACAGUCAAGGUGUAAUAAAAUCAUGAUGUAAGCAGCUUUAUGGUUUUUUUGUUUUUGUUUUUUUUCCAGAUGGGAAGAACAGACAAGAAUGUUUUUCAAAAUACUUGAGUCAGGAUAUAGCAUGUUGUAGUGGACCAGUAUGCCAGGCAUCACCCUUGAGAGAUGUGGCAUGGACUUGGGUGGGGGUAGGCAUCGGGGAGGAAGGAGUUCAAGGCCAGGGCAGCAGCUGAUUACCGGUUGGAAGGGCACGUUUGAGUGGUUUAACAGUCCUUACCAGUAAAUUCCAGCUGAGUAUCCAUCUUGGAUAUGUAUACAUUUGUCAAACUCUAUAACAUUUACUUGGAUUUUUUUUAAUGUUUAUUUUUGAGAGAGAGGCAGAGCGUGAAGUGGGGAGGGCAGAGAGAGAGGGAGACACAGAAUCCAAAGCAGGCUCCAGGCUCUGAGCGGUCAGCACAGAGCCCGAUGUGACUCUCAAACCCACGAACUGGUAGAUCAUGACCUGAGCCGAAGUGGGACACUUAACCGACUGAGGCUCCCAGGCGCCCCUUACUUGCAUUUUUAAUGUGGAAAAUCCUAUAAAGGUUUUUGAUUUUUAAAACUGUCACCAACAUUUAUAACAACUUAUGAAAAAGUAACUUUUGAAAAGUAAGUAGCUUAUGAAAUGGGCCAUUGCCUAAAACUAUCAUUUUACUAGGUACCACACGGAAUGACAAACUAUCACACUAAUUGUCAGAAGUAUUCACACUGCGUCGCAGGCUUGGCUGUGACUCGAUGGGAUAAUGGGAUCAUGCAGAAAGCUACUGUUAAAUAGUUUCUAUAAAAGCAGACUCUUAAAAUCAGACUUGGCGGGGGAAAAAACAGGAAGUUGGAAAUGAUCAAGAAAAGUCCACCUUAGCUUUAGGGUUAUCGGAGGAGCGAGCAAGUCUUUCUUGAAAAUAAAAACAAGUCUACUUAGAAAUGGAGGUUUUUUUUCCCUUGAGUUUCAGCUUUGGGGGAAAUGCCUGGUUACAGCAAAACCCAGGCCCCCACGAAGGAAACGCGAAGCGUGAUGUCCCCGGAGGAGCAAAUAAAUGUUUUUGCAGCAGUGACUAAACUUCUCUCUGCUACGGUCCCCAGAUAACACAACAGGGCUGAGAACUGUGCGGGAGAAAGGUGGCGUAGGAGUGCCGACAGCCUGACUCCGCCUUGGGCCCUCCCACCUUGUUCUCCGCUCUGCCACACAGGUGGGACCACGUUAGAGCCUCUGGCGCACAGGUGACACCACUCGAGGACCCCACUGGAAACACUGGUCAUAUUGUCAAGGCUUUGACUGCAAUGUCCUAUUUGAGAGAGGUCUGCAUUGGCUCAGAUACGACCAGACAGCAUUAAGGCACUAAGGUUGAUUUUAUGGAGCCUAUGAAGCCCCUUGGAAACAACUGGCCUGGUACCUUGCUUGUGAGUGUUCCCAGGAACCCUACCAGAAUCACAAGUGAUACCUGCCCACUACUGUUUAAAAUCACUGGUCUAGUCCCUCUCUAUAGCAUUUGUUGCAGACAGCCCUAAAACAGCUGGAAUACAGUCAGCAGGGGCCCGGGCUGGACCAGGCGGAGCAACAGUUCAUCUUGGCAAGUAUGUGUUUAUUUCCUUUGGUGCCUUGCACAGUAAGGCACUAAUGAUGAUAGAACAGAAGAAAUGCCCACAUCAAAUAGUUCUAGUGACAAUUUACUAGACAAGUUACAGUUUAAUGAUGGUGGUGGUGAUUGUUUCAUUUUAUUAUUUUUUACAAUAAGGUUGUAGCCUUUAUACUCCACACACACACA